AUGCUAGACGAGUUUGAUCAUGGCUCAGAAUCAACGCUGGCGGCGUGCCUCAGACAUGCAAGUCGAACGAUUAAAGCUCUCUUCGGAGAGUGUAUAGAGUGGCGCACGGGUGAGUAACACGUAAGUAAUCUACCCUCGAGUGGGGAAUAACAACCGGAAACGGUUGCUAAUACCGCAUAAUGCAGCGGCACCGCAAGGUGACAGUUGUUAAAGAUUUAUCGCUUGAGGAGGAGCUUGCGGCAGAUUAGCUAGUUGGUAGGGUAACGGCUUACCAAGGCUACGAUCUGUAACCGGUCUAAGAGGACGGUCGGUCACACUGACACUGAAUAACGGGUCAGACUCCUACGGGAGGCAGCAGUCGGGAAUUUUGGGCAAUGGGCGAAAGCCUGACCCAGCAACGCCGCGUGAAGGAUGAAGUAUUUCGGUAUGUAAACUUCGAAAGAAUAGGAAGAAUUAAUGACGGUACUAUUUAUAAGGUCCGGCUAACUACGUG
Molecule: ribosomal RNA, 493 nt
Filed under: uncultured bacterium
Lineage: Bacteria
Description: bacterial SSU rRNA
Rfam family: Bacterial small subunit ribosomal RNA
Source: RNAcentral